This 685-nucleotide unclassified non-coding RNA is filed under the name Hevea brasiliensis (rubber tree). Lineage: Eukaryota; Viridiplantae; Streptophyta; Magnoliopsida; Malpighiales; Euphorbiaceae. The record is from RNAcentral.
CUAUAAAUUAAUUCCAAAUCCAAUAUCCACCAUCACUUUCACUGAAAUCAAGCACUACUCAUAAGCAUUUCUCAUUUCACCUUCUCCUUUCUCCAACAAGAGCGGUGUACAUGGCUCGCACCAAGCAGACUGCCAGGAAAUCUACAGGAGGUAAGGCUCCCAGGAAGCAGCUGGCAACAAAGGCAGCUCGUAAGUCAGCACCAGCCACCGGCGGUGUGAAGAAGCCUCACCGUUUCAGGCCUGGAACUGUCGCCCUGAGAGAGAUUAGGAAGUAUCAGAAGAGCACCGAGCUUUUGAUCCGCAAGCUCCCAUUUCAGAGGCUUGUGAGGGAGAUUGCUCAGGAUUUCAAGACUGAUCUCAGGUUCCAGAGCAGUGCUGUUGCAGCUCUUCAAGAGGCAGCAGAGGCGUACCUUGUUGGGCUCUUUGAGGAUACUAAUCUCUGUGCUAUUCACGCUAAGAGAGUGACAAUUAUGCCCAAAGAUAUACAAUUGGCCCGAAGGAUUAGAGGUGAAAGGGCUUGAAAUGAUUGUUAAUAUGUUUGGUAGAUCUUUGUCUUAGGUAUCUGUUUUUAUUUCUAGAUUAAUAUGGCUCUUGUUAGGUCUGUUUAUUUGUCCUUAUCUUUGUAUUGGCUAAGCUAUUUGUAAUCGCUAUGGAAAUCUAAUGGGCAAGUUAUUUUGCUCUUUUU